AGCUUUAUAGUCAUAAAUGAUUUAAAAUUGCAAAUUUUAAGGAAUAAUCAAAAAUUAUUAAGGCUU
This 66-nucleotide transfer RNA is filed under the name Ganisa cyanogrisea. RNAcentral's name for it is "tRNA-Cys". The record is from RNAcentral. Lineage: Eukaryota; Metazoa; Arthropoda; Insecta; Lepidoptera; Eupterotidae.